CAGAUCUCCCGCUGUCCCCUUUAAAUGGCUGGGAAGCUCCAUCCCCGAACAGCUGCAAUCGAUCACCACCUUCGCCCCCCCCCCCUCCAAUCAUGUGAUAGCCUGCCCGAGGGAUUUAAGCUGCUGGAGCUCCGCGCUGCGUUACUCCGGCUUGUGGAGAAGGGGCUCGGGGGUGUCCUGCCUGGUGGGGCUGGUGUCUGCAGCAUGGAGCAAGGACUGGUCGUUACUCAGCUGGACAUCGAGCCUGGUGAGUGCAUCAAGGUCAAAGGGAAGAUCAAGUCUGAUGCCAAAGGGUUUGCUGUGAAUGUUGGGAAGGACAGCAACACCCUCAUGCUGCAUUUCAACCCUCGCUUUGACUGUCACGGGGACAUCAACACCAUCGUGUGCAAUUCCAAGGAGGAUGGCACGUGGGGUGAGGAGGACAGGAAGGCUGACUUUCCCUUCCAGCAUGGUGACAAGAUUGAGAUGUGCAUCUCCUUCGAUCAAACUGAGGCCACGGUGAAGCUGCCUGAGGCAGAGUUCAAGUUCCCCAAUCGGCUGGGCAUGGAGAAAAUUCAAUACCUGGCUGUGGAGGGUGACUUCAAAGUCAAAGCCAUUAAGUUCAGCUAACAGUUAUAGCUUGGUUUGUUUUGUUUUCUGCCCCACACGUAGUGAAAUAAACCCAAACUUGCAAUGGCUGCUUCCUCUGCUGUUUCCUGCUCUAAUCUGCUUGCUCCUGUGUGUGCUACAGGGGUGGGCAAGGAGGGGAUAUGUAUCCAACCACGUGCCUCCUUACACUGUGGAUUUGCAGGUGGUACUGAUUUAGACACAAGCCAGGCAAAGCAUGACUGACUGUGAGUAAAGCUGCCUUAGCAGUAGUUGCUCCCUUCACCUUGUUGGCUGCAGUAAGUGGUCCCUGUCUGGUUUCUAAAAUCUGGGAUUAGUCCAGCCAGGGAGGCUUAAACAGGGGUAUGUGGGGUGUUCAUUGAGCUAUCUCUGACCAAGAAAAGCUGCUCCCAUCUCCUUGCUGGGGAUGAGGGACUGACAGGGAACAUGAGGCAUGGCUUGUGCUCUUGCCAAUAGCUUUGCUUUCCAAGACCAUGCUCAGCACUCGGGUGCACUGCAGGCUGGCACAAGCACACCUGAGAAGCAGAAAAGAGCGGGCGGGUCAGGCUGACUGCGCUUGCCAGGAAACAGAUGUGGAGUGAAAGGUGAAGCCUGACAGAAAGCUUAGGUGUGAGGUUGUGAGAGGAUCAGGUUCUCUGUGCUGCCUCAUGAAUUGAGGUCUUGACACAGAGACCCGGUAUCAGGUACCAUAAAGUCAGGGGCCGAGCAACAUACCCGGUAUGGGUGACAGGCCAUGUGGCAGCCUGUGGGACAGUGUCUGUAAUGCUGGACUGCUACACCCCAGGUGCAGCUUAAGGGCUGUACUGAGCUAGGUUACCACAGGUAUUAAAUCCUGAGUGCACCAAACAAAUAACUGCAGUUAGGCAGAUGAAUAAAAAAGCUUAGUGAACAGCUUCCUGUGCUUACAAGCUUUCUGCUCAUGCAAUGCCUUGGAGUGUGUCUGCUACUGCUCCUUCCCAGCAUCCUGCUACCCAUGCUGACCCAGGAGAGAGCUGGAGCUGGGACUGAUGUGGCAUUUGAGGACCUGGUGGAAGGUAAAGUCCUAUGUGCUGUGGGGAACUGGGAGCCUGGACAGGCUGCCCAGGUUUGGGGGCUGGCUCUGUGACUGACAGUGCUGCCCUGGUGCAGCUCAGUCACAAUGGCCUGCACAGCUGAGACCUUCCUUAGCCAAAUGCUGCUCCACUGCUGGAAUGUGAUCCCUGUUGGCUAAUCCAUCAGCAAGGCUGCAUUUGCUGCUCCUUCAACAGCUGAGCAGUUGGGCCAGCUGCUUGGGUAGGGGCAAUACAACACAGGGGAGGAUUUGAGCCAUUCCAGGCUUUUCAUGGAGAGGCUGCAAGGCUGUUGCCCUCAUGUCAGCAACACUGUCCUGACCUGUACUGCAGCAGCUGCCCAGAGCUGGGCACCCCCAUGGGAGAUGGCAGGAGCCUGGCCAUGCUGCAGGACGGGCGUGGAUAAUGGUGUUCUUAAUUCCUGUCCUGCAUCUAUUGCAUUAUUUAUGGGAUAGGCGGUUAGUUUUUAGAGGCUGGGAUGUCUUUACUAGGAAAAGGAUGAAGGAGGUCUUCCUGAUGAUUUGCCUUGUCCAGUAAGUCCUGAGAUUGUUUCAUUUUGCAGGGUGUGUGGGGUGGGGAGCUGGGGAAAAGAGGAUAGUUUUUGUCUUGUUACAUUACCUGGCUGCAGGUAGCUAAGUGCAGUGUACAGCACUGAAAAGGUAUGAGGCCCUUAUGUAGCUGAGGCACAGAGGAGCUCACAGCUGGUCUCUGUGUGUGCCUGCUCCUGCCUGCCCUGGUCAGGUGAGGUCUGUGUCUCAGAACUGACAAGAAUAAAGCUAAUCUCGUUUUUUUUGCCCUUAAGCUGGCAGUCCUGGUUGCCAGGUAGGCUGGCCCCAAGUGUUCCUGACUGCUGUGCUCAGGGUACAAACAGUGCCCUCAAGGGGGCUACCCCCCUCCUGGACUUUCCACAAGAAUUAAUUAGGCUUAUCCUGCUUUUUAGAGCUGGCAGUUACCACUAAGGAGACCACAAAACAGUAGAAAGGGAAGGAAGGAAGCAUCCCUUUGCCAGCACUUCCUGCUGCUUGAGUUUUGUUCUCCUGUGUCCCAGAGCUAUAAAUAAUCCCGUUCCUCUAAGUGACACUGGGAAAUGUAGAGUGCCCUGGCUGGCUCCUGGAGUGGUGACAAGACUUUCUCUCCUGCUGGAACGAUUCAGAAAGCCAGAACAGUGUGCUGCAGGCAGAGAGAGGGACACAGUGAAUGGGAAAGCAGGGAGCUGGAAGAACCACAGCAUGGCCUAAGGAUGCAGAUUUUGGUAUUUUGCCUUUUUUUUUUUUAAAUUUAAAUCCUGCAUAGUGUGCAGUCACCACUGUAUUUCCUUACAGCAUCACAGCAAGGGAAAUCAGACCUCGAGACCUCCUGAGAAGCAGCUGUGAGGCUUUGUGUUACAACAUGGAGAGAUUUAGUUGGGCAUGAGGAAAAAUGUCUGCAGUGGAGCAGCUGUCCAGGGAAGUGGUGGAGCCACCAUGCCUGCAGGGUUUUCCUCAAGCCACUGCAGAGAGACUGUGCUUUCCUACUGUGCCAGGCAUCACCUGUGGCCAGCUGAGGGGGACUGUCACACGAUCCUUCAACACUCCAUGACUUUCCCGGAGAUGGCUUUGGUCAAGGCACUUGAAACAGAGAAUCAUCUGCCAAGUACUUGGAUUAAACAGACUGGAGCAGGACUGUGUCCCAGGUCCACCUGGGACAGGUUAGAGUGAGGAAGAGGCUGCUGGAGGUGUUUUACCACCGACCCCCGCGGAGGUAGCAAGUGCUGCAGCCAGGGCAGCUGCUGCCGCUGCGUCCCUGGGUGUGAAGUCCGUGGGGAGGCUUUCCAUGAGGCACUUGAGCUGCUCCUGGCCCAGUUUGAUUUUAUCGUCCAGCUCCCGCUGCUCGAUGAGGAGUGCGGACUUCAUCUUCACAAAGUGCUGGUAAUCCUGGAGCUGCUCCUCCGAGAGGUAGUUGCCCAGGAUCUCCAAGACCACCCGUUCCCGACGGUCAAGGUUUUCCUUGAGUUCCCGGGCGUCUUCGUGCUGGCCAGCCAGCAGCUUCCUCUUCUCGUUCAGCGAGCUCUGCACACACCAGAGAGAGCCCUUCAGCACCAGCAGCACCGAAAUCCCUGCUCCCCCCCUCUUCCUCCCAGCACCACCUCCCUGGCUGGCUGCCAAGCUCCCAGACACCCAGUCAAAAGCCUGGGAGAGGAGGAUGAAUCCUUCAUUAUGGAUUGAAUGUGAAUCCCACUGAAUCGGACUCUGAAUGUUCUAGUCAAUGGGAGGCAGAAAGUGCUCUAAGGAAGUCUAAAACUUGCCUGAAAGCAACAACUACCAGGAAAACCUGGCUUUGCCUCUUCAAAAACCACCCGAAGAAUGUUAAAAUGUGGCUUUAACUGAGUGGGUUAUUCCAGGAGGCACAGCACCAUCCAAGCUCUCCUCUGGCCACGGGGCACAGACAGGCUGUCCCCAGCAUGGCCCUUCUGCGGCGAGACAAAAGCCACAGGAUCCCUGACAUUUAUACAGACCGGGAUCAAGGUUCCCAGGGACAAACCCUGCAUUUGCUACUGCUCAUCCAUAAGCUCCAGGACACCUGUGCUACCUUCCUGGCAGCCCUUGGAAGUCCUUGUAAGGUAUGCUGUUGUGAUGGCUGCUGCUGCCCCACAUCCCAGUAAGGCCAGACACCACAGAUACGUACCCGCUCCUCACUGUUGGCAUUUUCCCCCAGACUACUCAGAACAUUCUCCACACGGGCCAGGCGUCCCGAGAGGGAGAGCAAGAGGUUCACCACCUUAUCCAGAUCACCAAUGAACAUCUUGUACUUGUCAAACUCGUUGGGUUUGCACAGCGUGCUGAUCAACAGCUCCACCUCCUCUCCGAGGGCGUUAUUCAUCUUAAUGUCUGCGAGCAGGCCCUCCUUGGCUUCCUUCAGGAUUUCCAGUUUGUGGGUCAAGCUCCCGAUGAGCUCAGCCUGUCAGAGGGGAAACACAUUGCUACCAUCACCCUGACCACAUGGAUGACGACAACAGGAGGGUAUGGCUGUGGUUCCUGAGGAGCAGGGUCAUGUCAGCAACAGCUGACAAAGAAGAUAUUAAGGAGGAAACAGAGAGAACACUGGAAUUCCUCAUCUAGGACAUAAUCCAGGCAGCUGACUAGGUUGUGUGAACAUGUAUGUGCUCCAUGAACAUUUAUAGAAGAGAUCUCAGAUUUGAUGCACCAUGUUCUGAUACCCAGCUACCUACAGCUGAAAGAUGUAUGUUCUUUAAAACCUGCAAGUGAAAAGAGCUGCAGCCACAUCUCGGGCAUGUUCCCCACUCCCUGCCCCAGCUUGAAACGUCUUGAACUGGACAAAACAACUGCCUCCCACACAGGGACAUCAACGAAGAGUUGUCACCAAUGAUGCUUUAAGUUUACUCAGUGUCUAAGCAAAGACACAGAGAGCACAAACCCAUUCUAAGAAAAAUGCUGGCAACUAUUUCCCUGCCAAAGAAAAGGAGGCCCCCGGGCUUCAGUUACUCCACAAACAGCACUGCUACACAUGUGCCCAAGAUCCUAAUUUCUGUUAGGAUUUAGUGGAAAGACAUAUGCAAAAGCAAGUCUGUGGCCUGGGGCUCGCAAUUCUUGCUUCCAUUUACUCAGAACUGUGAGCAGGAAAAGCUCUUCCUACAAGGGGUGAGGAUUUUCAGUGUCUCCAGCUUGUGCACUGCUGAGGCCCCGUUACCCGUGUGUUAAUCUGCUGUGAAAAUAUUGCCUCACUGUCCUGUUUCCAUCCAAACUGAGUGUCACUGCAGGCAGGAGACAGUCUGCUCCAGCAGAGGAAGGAUCCUCAAACACUGGUGAGGCAGGGGGAAUCACUGAGAUGGCCCUGAUGCCCACAGUGGCCUUUCGGUGGGGUCCCAAGGCUGGGCUGGCAGUGGGAAGCACACAGCAGUGUAUGGCCAGGCACCACUAGAUGGAACACUUGGCGUGCUUUGUCCUGUGGCUGCACUACAGCCUGCUCUCAGCUGCCACACACAUGCAGAGGCUGAACAAAAGGACUGGGACUGCUCCUUACAGCCUGUACACCCAGCAUUUGGCAUGGGACAGCCCUGCCUCGGGGUGGUGCAAGAUUUGUACUCAAGUUUGCAGUGACUACUCAGAUCAACUCUCUUCAUUCCAUUUGGGUCACUCUAAUGAAGCUUCACUGGUGGCCUAAACGCUCUCACGCAACUUGAGAGCUGCCAAAAGCUGCCAAAUAGAAAUGCACUUCACUGUAGGGCUUAUUGUCAUUUCAGGAAUGUAAGCAGCCAAUGGUGGUGUGUGCUGAAUUUACCUUCUUCUCGUUGAUGUCCAGCAGCUCCUCUUCCUCAUCUACUUCUUCUGGCAAAUCCUUGAUUUUAUUCAGUAGCUCUGCUUUGGGUGCUGAAACGCUGUAAUAAGCAGGACAGGUGACCAGGGUGACAGGAGCUUCCUUUUCCUCUCUCCUACACCACAGUGAAGAAAAAGGAGGAGUUCAGUCCGAGCCUGACUUUUCCCCAUGCCUAGAUCCAUGCUUUUCCAGGACUGCCCGUUUGGUACCUUCCCAGUGUUAUUACCCACAAGGACAAGGCGGAUUCCUGCCACCAGAGGGUGCGUGUCAGCUGCUGUCACAGCCCAGCACAGCCCCUGGGUUUAAAGGUGACUGGUUACAGCCCUGGACAGGCUUUACCUUGCUGGGGGUCAAUCAGCACAGCUCGGCUAGAGGUGCCCAGACCGGCCAUCCCACCUGGCAUCGUGCAGCACAACUGAUUCCUGGAUGGUUCUCCAGCUGCCACUUGGCAGCUUCUAUCUUAAAAAAACCCACACUGGAGGACUUGGGCUGACCUUGCAGUAAGAAGGUCCCCUCAAGCCUCCUUCCAAAAUCUGGCCUCUCGUUAUCUUUCUGCCUGCCAUUAUUUUCAUCUGGAUUUUACUGUCUGUUCCUGCACUUUGGACUGAAUUGCUUCAGCUUGUAAAGGUUCAGAGAGCAAAAUCAAGUAACAUCUCCAGGGCUGGUUCAUCUCCUCCCCUGUUACCAAGCUCAGCAUUGCCUUCCACACAGCCCAGCUCAUGAGAAAGGGUAUUUGGAACUGCCCUGCCAGGCCCUGCACCUGGGAACUGCGAAACUUGCUCUCCACCAGAGCCCACCAGCAGAAAUGCAGACACCUUGGGCACAGGUUGGCCUUAAAAGUGAGGGAGCAGGGAGUUGUGCCAGCCCUCAUCCCGAUCCCGCAGUGCUUACGUGUCUUCCCUGACAGCCGUCCUGCUGACUUGCUUCUGCGACAUCUUCCUCUUCAUGUUGUUCUCCUUCAGCAAGCUGGUUCCACUGGGGAAAAUCCCUUCCAUUAAGUCCAUGGUAGUCUUCAUUUUGGAAUCUGGAUCCAGGAUAUCUGCCAGAGACUUGUCUUUGUGGACAAUUUCUUUUGCCAGAGCCUCUGACUUAAUAUCCUCUGGGGUCUUUUUCUUUGCCUUCACUGGAGGUGCUGUGCUGAGUAUCCCGGAGUCCGGGCUGGUGUUUUCUGACUCUGGCUCUCUGGGGUCACCUUCAGGCUGAGUUAUGGGCUGUGUAUCAGUGCUUUGAGGCCCUUCAGAAGCAGCAGGUGAGUGGUGCUGCUGGUCCACAGCAGAUGGAGAUCUAGUCCUCUUUGCAGUUGGUGAGAGGGCCCAGUUCUUUUCACCGAUACUGGUGCCCAACCCUGUGAUCUCCCUCUCAGCCGGGGCUUUGGGAAAGCUUUUGAAGCUGCUAUGGAAAGAAAAAUUCUGUGAGAUGAAGAUAAACCUAUGACCCAGGACCAUUGUGAACACAUGGCGAAGGCCUACAACAAGUAAGUUCUCCUUCUCUCUCAUUUUUGUGUCUCACUUCUCAUUCCAACACAGAAGGGCAUGCAGUGUGAAGCUCCUGGCACCAGAAGCAUUUCAUCCCCCCAGUCUGGACACUGCUGGAUUGUCUCUCCAACACAAAAAGAACCAGUGAGUAACAAGUCACUUUGUUUUCUGCUGACAGCUGGGGGACAUUGUGUCCCCCUACCUGGGAGUGCCAUCCUGAGCAGCCCCUACCCAUUUGUCCUUGUCAUGUUGGAAAAGCCAAUCACUGCUACAGCCCUGGCCAGAUUCUUCCUGGAUGGAGAUUAGAGCAGACCCCUGGGAGUGUGAAGCUGUGCUGAGUUAAACCAGCUGGGCACCUUGCCCAAAGUCCCAUCCUUCAGGAGAUUUGCCCUGUACAGCAUGACUGUGACAUACUUGUGUUGUCACUCCUUGGCAGAUGGUCACUGUUUCAUAACAGCAUUGUUUUGUGCCAGGUCUAAAAUGCAUUCUGGGGGAUUCUAACUGUUUGGAUAAACCCAUCAUGGAUUUUCACAGCUGUCUCUCAAAAACCAGUUACUGGAAGGAGUCAGCAGCCAUUCCAGCUCCUCAUGCUGGAGCAAGUCAGAAGCAACCCCACUGAAAUCCGCAGGGAGAACCAGAUCAGGAGACUUUCUCCUCCCUAACCUCCUUUCCUGGGGGUUAUAGGGGAGCACCGCUAGUAGACAUGUUGGUGACCCACUAAGCUUUGUGCCCUGGCCUGGCCACGUCGUUUGAUGAUGCUCUUGGCAUCCAGGCAGUGAGUCUGUCUGUCCCUGUGCCCAUACAGCAAACUCCCCACCCGGCUGGCAGCUGGGGGGGUCUCAUGGCACGCGGGGUCAUUGCCAGCUGUCUGAGCCCCACAUAUCUUACUGUAUAUGGCCCUGCACCGCCCCAGACGCCGCGUUCCAGCCCGCCCUUACCUCACACUGGCCUCCUCUGGGAGCCGGGGGGAUUUGUCUCCAGCUGCCCCAUUCUCCUCAAGUGCCAUGGCUGGAGGGGGAGGUGGGAAUUCCCCCGUGCCAUUGGCAGAAGUGCAAGAGCUGAGCUCGGGAAGAGGACGGGAAGGUGGUGGUGGGGAGAAGGGCGGCUGGGAAGGCGCGACGAACACCUCAUCGUCCCCCUCGUCCUGCAGCAAGGGCGGGGGCGUGAGCUGCAGCCCCGACUCCGAGAUACGCAGCUGGGUGGUCCCCUGGGGAGAGGGAGUCUCCGGGUCGGAAGAAGUGCUGCUCUGUGUUGGCAGGGACUGCCACCUCUGGGACAGCUUGGGCCCAGCCACUGGAGGAGACACCACGGCCCUUGCAGAGCUGUUGUCCUUGACUGGAGGAGCCCACGCCGCUCUAGGGGGCAGGGAUCUGUGGAGCAGCCCGGCCUUCCUUCUCCACGGCAUUUCUUCCAUGGGAGUCUCUGGGGAUCUAUCCUGCACGGCAUCCAGGGGUUGUGGCUGGAGACUCCCGUUGCCCUCAGGGGGAAGAGCCUCUCGUUUGGCAUGGUGCUGUCUCAGAGCCUGGCCCUCGCCUGUGCUCUGGAAGUCUGAGGGAGCCUGGGUGGGUGUGCUGGGGGAGGGCUGGCCAGAUCCAGAAGGAGUAAGGUUAAGGAACAAGGGUUUAAAGCCUUGCUUUUGCUCAGGAUAGUGACUCCUUGCCUCUGUUGGGGCUGGGAAAAAUGCGGAAGUCCUGCUAUCUGGCCUGGAAAGUUCUGAGAGCUUGUGGUUCUCUGUCAGAGUGGUGGACCCAGGGACAACGUCGCUGCUCCGGGGAGGGUGGGGAUAGUAACUGGUGAAUGCCAGUCUCUCUGAGAGGCUUCUUUCUUUCUUGCUGAAAGACCUAGAGACAGACCAUGGUAAGAUUAACAAUUAAUCAAUGAGCAGGAAAAGCUCUCAUGCACCUCCUUAAUGAAUCAAUUAUCAACCCUACCAGAGGCCAGUGUCUGGGGCCUGCUGGUCUAGGUGAGAUGCAGCUGUGCUAUGAAACUGGAAGUCAAAUCCUGAGCCAGAUCCAUUUCCACUCACCAUCUCCCAUCAUCCUCAGUGUGUGCUACAAUACACACAUGUGUAGCAGGCACCACAACACUAACUCAAUGGAAAAAAAUUUAGGAAAACCUAAUGCCUGGCUUCCUUUCCAGCCUUGGUUUCAAUUUGGUUUGUUACAGAUGGGUCUAGUAGUAACUUCUGUAAGACAGAUUAUUUGACAUUAUCUACCAUCAAACCCCAUUCUCAAUUGCUGGUAAUUCUAAGCUCUACGAGCCAAAAAUUCCCAUAAUGUUAUCCGGCUCCUGUUGGAAAGGUGCCAUUAAAAUGAUUCAACUGUCUCCAAGAACAAGGCGAGGCCAAAAAAUGCACUAUUUUGACUCCAGAGAAAAUUAAAAAAAGCUCCUACAGCCUUGGAACUCUGUAAGAAAACAGAGCUCCCUCAGACAGGCAGGUGUGAUGAACCCCAGAGCCAACACAUUCCAUCUGCGAGCGGAUGUUAAGGCUGCAAAGCCAGUGGGGUGAGUUAUUCCUUCCAGGUCUUUUAGGAUGUUCUCAGGUGUGUCUGAGAAACAGUGUCUAGCCUUUGGAGCGAGGAUCCUGCUCGGAAUCCAGAGCCAAACCUACUUGCCUGUAUGGCUGUUUAGCUGGAAAACAAACCGAGCAGUAAUAGUGACACCAGCAGAUGCAAGAAAAGAUGGCCUGAAAACAUGGGGCCGUGCCAUAAACCAAUAAAACACAAUAAAGCUCGACUGCCAAUAUGUUUUCUGUUCUUGAGAUGCAUUGUUCAAACACUCCCAACACUGCCAAUCUGUGAUGCUGGAGACUUGAGCCCCUGAUUUGUUCCCAGAUAUACUGGUACAAAUUAAGAGUAACUCUGUCAAAAACGUGGGUUGUUCGGGCUUUAUUCUGGUGUGACUGAGAAUAGAAUUUGGCAGCCUGUGCCUGGGGCUGGGGAAACUUCCCAGACAGGCUGCUCUUGGUAUUGUCUGUGGUUCCUGGACAGUAGCAGUGUGUAUUCUUUUCAGAUGCUCAGUGUUCCUCAGGAACACCAGAUGGCAAUUCUCUAAUUGAAAGAUCUCUCCUACUGUGGAAGCAACUGUGGAUUCUAAAACUGAUGGAGCAACACCCGUUCCCAAUAUUGUGUGGCACCUGGGGAGCAGUGGGAGAGCACAUGUGACUGGACCAUGUGAUUGCUGACCAAGGUUUUUUCCUAACUUCAUCAUCUGACGAGUUUUCUUCCUCCUCGAGCAAGAGCUGUGGUAGGGGUGGUACCAUCUCCUCUGCAGCACAUUAGGCAGCUGUGUCCCAAGGAAACCGAGAAACAUAACCUGUACUGCCUGGUGUUGCCUCCAUGCAUGGAGAAUGCUUCUCCUAUCCUCAUUCUAUCUUUUGGGAAAUCCAAUUCUGAGUGAGAAAGGAAAGCAAGUCCCGUCUCCCAGCAGAAAUGUGCUUGCGAAGCAUGAGGGAUGCCUGCGCAGCAGAAACGCCACAAAACUGCUAAUAACCAAUAAUCUUUGUGCAGUGAAGCAGGAAAAUGAGAAACCUGCAUUUCGUGCCCCAAUAAACUUGUUUUCAGUCUGGGUGUUCAAUCCCAUUACUUGGAAAAUAGGUUGGGGAAAGAAAGAAAUAAAAGGAAGCUGCAAGUAGUGAUCGAGCAGCAGGAUGAAAUGCCAUCUGCAGGAAAAACAGGGAGGUAGGAGCAAGUGAAACAGCUGCAUUGUUGUUUUAGGAAAAAACAUGGAAAAAAGUUAUUCCAAAUCACAGCAAAUGGGCAUGUUUUAAACAAACCUAAAAGGAUGUGCCUGAAGGUAGACUGGGUCCCUUUAAAACAAUA
Molecule: RNA transcript, 11265 nt
Organism: Chiroxiphia lanceolata (lance-tailed manakin)
Lineage: Eukaryota; Metazoa; Chordata; Aves; Passeriformes; Pipridae
Gene name: 16 kDa beta-galactoside-binding lectin
Exons: 7
Source: RefSeq, a predicted model, not a curated record